This 502-nucleotide ribosomal RNA is filed under the name uncultured bacterium. RNAcentral describes it as "bacterial SSU rRNA". It matches the Rfam family "Bacterial small subunit ribosomal RNA", at positions 32 to 513 of the family's 1533-position model. The record is from RNAcentral.
AAUCAACGCUGGCGGCGUGCCUAACACAUGCAAGUUGAGCGCUUGAGGGGGCAACCCCCAAGAGAGCAGCGAACGGGUGAGUAACGCGUGGGUGAUCUUCCUUCGAGUGGGGAACAACAUCGGGAAACUGGUGCUAAUUCCGCAUAAUAUCCUCGGGCCACGAGCCUGGGGAUCAAAGCCGGGGACCGCAAGGCCUGGCGCUUGAAGAUGAGCCCGCGUCCGAUUAGCUAGUUGGCGGGUAAUGGCCCACCAAGGCUCCGAUCGGUAGCCGGCCUGAGAGGGCGGACGGCCACACUGGAACUGAGACACGGUCCAGACUCCUACGGGAGGCAGCAGUGGGGAAUUUUUCGCAAUGGGCGCAAGCCUGACGAAGCAACGCCGCGUGGAGGAUGAAGGUCUUCGGAUUGUAAACUCCUGUCGACCGGGACGAAUGCACUCGACCUAAUACGUCGGAAUGUUGACGGUACCGGUGGAGGAAGCCACGGCUAACUACGUGCCAGCA